CCUACGGGGGGCUGCAGUGGGGAAUAUUGGACAAUGGGGGGAACCCUGAUCCAGCCAUGCCGCGUGUGUGAAGAAGGCCCUCGGGUUGUAAAGCACUUUCAGUGAGGAAGAACGCCUGGUGGUUAAUACCCAUCAGGAAAGACAUCACUCACAGAAGAAGCACCGGCUAACUCCGUGCCAGCAGCCGCGGUAAUACGGAGGGUGCGAGCGUUAAUCGGAAUUACUGGGCGUAAAGCGCGCGUAGGUGGCUUGAUAAGCCGGUUGUGAAAGCCCCGGGCUCAACCUGGGAACGGCAUCCGGAACUGUCAAGCUAGAGUGCAGGAGAGGAAGGUAGAAUUCCCGGUGUAGCGGUGAAAUGUGUAGAGAUCGGGAGGAAUACCAGUGGCGAAGGCGGCCUUCUGGACUGACACUGACACUGAGGUGCGAAAGCGUGGGUAGCAAACAGGAUUAGAUACCCUAGUAGU
Molecule: ribosomal RNA, 464 nt
Filed under: Vreelandella stevensii
Lineage: Bacteria; Pseudomonadati; Pseudomonadota; Gammaproteobacteria; Oceanospirillales; Halomonadaceae
Description: partial 16S ribosomal RNA
Rfam family: Bacterial small subunit ribosomal RNA
Source: RNAcentral